Molecule: ribosomal RNA, 564 nt
Filed under: uncultured bacterium
Lineage: Bacteria
Description: bacterial SSU rRNA
Rfam family: Bacterial small subunit ribosomal RNA
Source: RNAcentral
CCUACGGGAGCAGCAGUGAGGAAUUUUCCGCAAUGGGCGAAAGCCUGACGGAGCAAUGCCGCGUGGAGGAGGAAGGCCUGUGGGUCGUAAACUCCUUUUCUCAGAGAAGAAGUUCUGACGGUAUCUGAGGAAUAAGCAUCGGCUAACUCUGUGCCAGCAGCCGCGGUAAUACAGGGGAUGCAAGCGUUAUCCGGAAUUAUUGGGCGUAAAGCGUCCUGAGGUGGCUUACCCAGUCGACUGUGAAAGCUCAAGGCUUAACCUUGAAACGGCAGUCGAAACUUGUAAGCUUGAGUACGGUAGGGGCAGAGGGAAUUCCCGGAGGAGAGGUGAAAUUCGUAGAUAUCGGGAGGAAGGCCAAAGGCGAAAGCACUCUGCUGGGCCGAUUACUGACACUGACAGACGAAAGCUAGGGGAGCGAAAGGGAUUAGAUACCCCUGUAGUCCUAGCCGUAAACGAUGGAUACUAAGUGUUGCGCGACUCAAAACGUGCAGUGCUGCAGCUAACGCGGUAAGUAUCCCGCCUGGGGAGUAUGCCCGCAAGGGUGAAACUUAAAUGAAUUGACGG